CUAGUAAUCGCGGAUCAGCAUGCCGCGGUGAAUACGUUCCCGGGCCUUGUACACACCGCCCGUCACACCAUGAGAGUCGGGAACACCCGAAGUCCGUAGUCUAACCGCAAGGGGACGCGGCCGAAGGUGGGUUCGAUAAUUGGGGUGAAGUCGUAACAAGGUACC
RNAcentral lists this ribosomal RNA (165 nucleotides) under uncultured bacterium. Its description in RNAcentral is "partial 16S ribosomal RNA". It matches the Rfam family "Bacterial small subunit ribosomal RNA", at positions 1335 to 1500 of the family's 1533-position model. The record is from RNAcentral.